AUCGAAACUGUUUUCUCAGACGCACCUGC
This 29-nucleotide small RNA is filed under the name Bombyx mori (domestic silkworm). RNAcentral's name for it is "ovarian small RNA-4603". Lineage: Eukaryota; Metazoa; Arthropoda; Insecta; Lepidoptera; Bombycidae. The record is from RNAcentral.